Molecule: ribosomal RNA, 701 nt
Filed under: uncultured bacterium
Lineage: Bacteria
Description: bacterial SSU rRNA
Rfam family: Bacterial small subunit ribosomal RNA
Source: RNAcentral
CGGGAUACCCGAGGGAAACUUCGGUUAAUACGGUAUAAGACCACACUACUGCAUGGUAGAGGGGUAAAAGGGGCAACCUGGUAUGAGAUGGACUCGCGUCGCAUUAGCUAGUUGGUGAGGUAACGGCCCACCAAGGCGACGAUGCGUAGCCGACCUGAGAGGGUGAUCGGCCACAUUGGGACUGAGAUACGGCCCAGACUCCUACGGGAGGCAGCAGUGGGGAAUAUUGGGCAAUGGAGGAAACUCUGACCCAGCAAUGCCGCGUGAAUGAAGAAGGUCUUCGGAUUGUAAAGUUCUUUAGUCAGGGAAGAAGUCAAUGACGGUACCUGAAGAAUAAGCUCCGGCUAACUACGUGCCAGCAGCCGCGGUAAUACGUAGGGAGCAAGCGUUGUUCGGAAUGACUGGGCGUAAAGGGUGCGUAGGCGGUUGUACAAGUUAGAAGUGAAAUACCCAGGGCUUAACUCGGGUGCUGCUUCUAAAACUGUAUGACUUGAGUGCAGUAGAGGUUAGUGGAAUUCCUAGUGUAGCGGUGGAAUGCGUAGAUAUUAGGAGGAACACCAGAGGCGAAGGCGGCUAACUGGACUGCAACUGACGCUGAGGCACGAAAGCGUGGGGAGCAAACAGGAUUAGAUACCCUGGUAGUCCACACUGUAAACGAUGGAUACUAGAUGUAGGAGGUAUCGACUCCUUCUGCGUCGCAG